Molecule: ribosomal RNA, 497 nt
Filed under: uncultured bacterium
Lineage: Bacteria
Description: partial 16S ribosomal RNA
Rfam family: Bacterial small subunit ribosomal RNA
Source: RNAcentral
GAUGAACGCUGGCGGCGUGCCUAAUACAUGCAAGUCGAGCGAACGGACCAUAAGCUUUCUUCUCUGAUGUUAGCGGCUGACGGGUGAGUAACACGUGUAUAACCUUCCUAUUUUUCUUGGAUAACUUCGUGAAACCGUUUCUUAUACCGGAUAAUAUUUUUAACCGCUUGGUUCAAAAGUUAUUUACGUUUUUUCUGUCUCUUUUAGAUGUUUCCGCGCUGGAUUAGUUAUUUGGUAAGGUAACGGCUUACCAAGGCAACGAUGCAUAGCCGAACUGAGAGGGGGAACGGCAACACGGGAACAGAGACACGGUCCAGACACCUACGGGAGGCAGCAGGAGGGAAUAUUACGCAAUGGGCGAAAGCCUGACGGAGCAAGGCCGCGUGAGUGAAGAAGGACUUCGGAUCGUAAAACUCUGUUAUUAGGGAAGAAAAUAUGUGUAAGUAAAUGUGCACAUAUUGACGGUACCUAAAGAGAAAGCAACGGCUAACUACGUG